GACGAACGCUGGCGGCGUGCUUAACACAUGCAAGUCGAACGGAAAGGCCCUGCUUUUGUGGGGUGCUCGAGUGGCGAACGGGUGAGUAACACGUGAGUAACCUGCCCUUGACUUUGGGAUAACUUCAGGAAACUGGGGCUAAUACCGGAUAGGAGCUCCUGCUGCAUGGUGGGGGUUGGAAAGUUUCGGCGGUUGGGGAUGGACUCGCGGCUUAUCAGCUUGUUGGUGGGGUAGUGGCUUACCAAGGCUUUGACGGGUAGCCGGCCUGAGAGGGUGACCGGCCAGAUUGGGACUGAGAUACGGCCCAGACUCCGACGGGAGGCAGCAGUGGGGAAUACUGCACAAUGGGCGGAAGCCUGAUGCAGCAACGCCGCGUGGGGGAGGACGGCCUUCGGGUUGUAAACCGCUUUCGCCUGUGACGAAGCGUGAGUGACGGUAAUGGGUAAAGAAGCACCGGCUAACUACGUG
This 468-nucleotide ribosomal RNA is filed under the name uncultured bacterium. RNAcentral describes it as "partial 16S ribosomal RNA". It matches the Rfam family "Bacterial small subunit ribosomal RNA", at positions 28 to 507 of the family's 1533-position model. The record is from RNAcentral.